UACGUAGGGGCCUAGCGUUGUCCGGAAUUAUUGGGCGUAAAGAGCUCGUAGGCGGUGUGUCGCGUCGGCCGUGAAAACCUGCAGCUUAACUGUGGGCUUGCGGUCGAUACGGGCAUCACUGGAGUUCGGCAGGGGAGACUGGAAUUCCUGGUGUAGCGGUGAAAUGCGCAGAUAUCAGGAGGAACACCGGUGGCGAAGGCGGGUCUCUGGGCCGAUACUGACGCUGAGGAGCGAAAGCGUGGGGAGCGAACAGG
Molecule: ribosomal RNA, 254 nt
Filed under: uncultured bacterium
Lineage: Bacteria
Description: partial 16S ribosomal RNA
Rfam family: Bacterial small subunit ribosomal RNA
Source: RNAcentral